RNAcentral lists this ribosomal RNA (195 nucleotides) under uncultured bacterium. Its description in RNAcentral is "partial 16S ribosomal RNA". It matches the Rfam family "Bacterial small subunit ribosomal RNA", at positions 338 to 525 of the family's 1533-position model. The record is from RNAcentral.
CCUACGGGAGGCAGCAGUGGGGAAUAUUGCACAAUGGACGCAAGCCUGAUGCAGCCAUGCCGCGUGUAUGAAGAAGGCCUUCGGGUUGUAAAGUACUUUCAGCGGGGAGGAAGGCGAUGCGGUCAAUAACCGCGUCGAUUGACGUUACCCGCAGAAGAAGCACCGGCUAACUCCGUGCCAGCAGCCGCGGUAAUA